This 741-nucleotide ribosomal RNA is filed under the name Bacillus sp. (in: firmicutes). Its description in RNAcentral is "Bacillus sp. (in: Bacteria) partial 16S ribosomal RNA". It matches the Rfam family "Bacterial small subunit ribosomal RNA", at positions 708 to 1416 of the family's 1533-position model. The record is from RNAcentral. Lineage: Bacteria; Bacillati; Bacillota; Bacilli; Caryophanales; Bacillaceae.
CCAGUGGCCGAAGGGCGCCUUCUCUGAUCUUGUAACUUGCAAUGUACGGCGCCGAAAGCCUGGGGAGCCAAACCAGGAUUAGAUUAUCCUGGUAAUUUCCCCCCCGUAAACCAUGAGAUGCUAAAUGGUAAGAAGGGUUUUCCUCCCUUUUAGUUCCUGAAAGUUAACCGCAUUUAACCACUCCCCCCCGGGGGAGGUACCGCCGGCAAAGGCUUGAAACUCAAAAGGAAAUUGACGGGGGGCCCCCCCAACCGGUGGAAGCAUUUGGGUUUAAUUUGAAGCAACGCGAAGAACCCUUCCAGGUCUUGGCAUUCUUUGGCAAACCUAAAAAAAGGGCUUUUCCUUCGGGAGCAGGGUGACAGGUGGUGCAUGGUUGUCGUCAGCUCGUUUCGUGAGAUGGUGGGUUAAGUCCCCGCAACGAGCGCCACCCUUGAUUUUAGUUUCCCUUCAUUUAGUUGGGCACUUUAAGGUGACCGCCGGUGGCAAACCCGAGGAAGGUGGGGAUGACGUCAAAUCAUCAUUCCCCCUAUGGCCUGGGCUACCCCCGUUCUUCAAUGGGCGGUACAAAGAGCUGCAAGACCGCGAGGUGGAACUAAUCUCAUAAAACCGUUCUCAGUUCGGAUUGUAGGCUGCAACUUGCCUUCCUGAAGCCGGAAUCGCUAGUAAUCGCGGGUCAACCUUGCGCGGGGAAUUCGUUUCCGGGCCUUGUUCCCCCCCGCCGUCCCCCCCCGGAGGAGUUUG